UACGUAGGGGGCUAGCGUUGUCCGGAUUUAUUGGGCGUAAGGAGCGUGUAGGCGGCCAGGUAGGUCUGGUGUGAAAACUCGAGGCUUAACCUCGAGAUGUCAUCGGAAACCAUCUGGCUAGAGUCCGGAAGAGGAGAGUGGAAUUCCUGGUGUAGCGGUGAAAUGCGCAGAUAUCAGGAAGAACACCAAUGGCGAAAGCAGCUCUCUGGGACGGUACUGACGCCGAGACGCGAAAGCGUGGGGAGCGAACAGG
RNAcentral lists this ribosomal RNA (253 nucleotides) under uncultured bacterium. RNAcentral's name for it is "partial 16S ribosomal RNA". It matches the Rfam family "Bacterial small subunit ribosomal RNA", at positions 524 to 776 of the family's 1533-position model. The record is from RNAcentral.